UACAUAGGGGGCAAGCGUUAUCCGGAAUUACUGGGUGUAAAGGGUGCGUAGGCGGUUAUGUAAGUCAGAUGUGAAAACCCUGGGCUUAACUUAGGGAAUGCAUUUGAAACUAUGUGACUAGAGUAUGGGAGAGGUAAGUGGAAUUCCUAGUGUAGCGGUAAAAUGCGUAGAUAUUAGGAAGAACACCAGUGGCGAAGGCGACUUACUGGACCAAAACUGACGCUGAGGCACGAAAGCGUGGGGAGCAAACAGG
This 253-nucleotide ribosomal RNA is filed under the name uncultured bacterium. RNAcentral describes it as "partial 16S ribosomal RNA". It matches the Rfam family "Bacterial small subunit ribosomal RNA", at positions 524 to 776 of the family's 1533-position model. The record is from RNAcentral.